This 213-nucleotide ribosomal RNA is filed under the name uncultured bacterium. RNAcentral describes it as "partial 16S ribosomal RNA". It matches the Rfam family "Bacterial small subunit ribosomal RNA", at positions 123 to 334 of the family's 1533-position model. The record is from RNAcentral.
ACACUGCCGUCUACUCUUGGCCAGCCUUCUGAAAGGAAGAUUAAUCCAGGAUGGCAUCAUGAGUUCACAUGUCCGCAUGAUUAAAGGUAUUUUCCGGUAGACGAUGGGGAUGCGUUCCAUUAGAUAGUAGGCGGGGUAACGGCCCACCUAGUCAACGAUGGAUAGGGGUUCUGAGAGGAAGGUCCCCCACAUUGGAACUGAGACACGGUCCAA